AUACGGAGGAUCCGAGCGUUAUCCGGAUUUAUUGGGUUUAAAGGGUGCGCAGGCGGGAGAUUAAGUCGGCGGUGAAAUUUUGCAGCUCAACUGUAAAAGUGCCUUCGAAACUGGUUUCCUUGAGUGUAGAUGAAGUAGGCGGAAUUUGUGGUGUAGCGGUGAAAUGCAUAGAUAUCACGAGGAACUCCGAUUGCGCAGGCAGGUUACUAAACUACUACUGACGCUCAGGCACGAAGGCGUGGGGAUCAAACAGGAUUAGAUACCCUGGUAGUCCACGCAGUAAACGAUGAUUACUCGCUGUUUGCGAUACACAGUAAGCGGCUUAGCGAAAGCGUUAAGUAAUCCACCUGGGGAGUACGUUCGCAAGAAUGAAACUCAAAUGAAUUGGCGGGG
Molecule: ribosomal RNA, 393 nt
Filed under: uncultured bacterium
Lineage: Bacteria
Description: partial 16S ribosomal RNA
Rfam family: Bacterial small subunit ribosomal RNA
Source: RNAcentral